AUUGAACGCUGGCGGCAUGCCUUACACAUGCAAGUCGAACGGCAGCAUGGAGAGCUUGCUCUCUGAUGGCGAGUGGCGAACGGGUGAGUAAUGCAUCGGAACGUGCCGUGUAAUGGGGGAUAACGUAGCGAAAGUUACGCUAAUACCGCAUACGACCUGAGGGUGAAAGCAGGGGAUCGCAAGACCUUGCGUUAUGCGAGCGGCCGAUGUCAGAUUAGCUAGUUGGUGAGGUAAAGGCUCACCAAGGCGACGAUCUGUAGCGGGUCUGAGAGGAUGAUCCGCCACACUGGGACUGAGACACGGCCAAGACUCCUACGGGAGGCAGCAGUGGGGAAUUUUGGACAAUGGGGGCAACCCUGAUCCAGCCAUGCCGCGUGAGUGAAGAAGGCCUUCGGGUUGUAAAGCUCUUUCGGCCGGGAAGAAAUCGCACAGGCUAAUACUCUGUGUGGAUGACGGUACCGGCAUAAGAAGCACCGGCUAACUACGUGCCAGCAGCCGCCGCGG
This 504-nucleotide ribosomal RNA is filed under the name uncultured bacterium. RNAcentral's name for it is "partial 16S ribosomal RNA". It matches the Rfam family "Bacterial small subunit ribosomal RNA", at positions 30 to 523 of the family's 1533-position model. The record is from RNAcentral.